RNAcentral lists this unclassified non-coding RNA (26 nucleotides) under Mus musculus (house mouse). RNAcentral describes it as "oocyte_clustered_small_RNA9306". The record is from RNAcentral. Lineage: Eukaryota; Metazoa; Chordata; Mammalia; Rodentia; Muridae.
AAGGCAUGAAGGGGUCUGCAGAGCAG